RNAcentral lists this unclassified non-coding RNA (239 nucleotides) under Hevea brasiliensis (rubber tree). The record is from RNAcentral. Lineage: Eukaryota; Viridiplantae; Streptophyta; Magnoliopsida; Malpighiales; Euphorbiaceae.
AAACAUGGACCCUAAAGCAUUAAUUGCAUGAACUACAGUUUUAUAUAUAUAGAAUUAAUAGAUAGACAAAUAAGCCAUAGAUAGAUAUCAUUGGCUAUAAUAGAUAAGGAAAUAUAUCCACCCAAAAGUUUAAGUGUAGAAGUGUGUGUGCUAUGAAUAGAAACGACCACACAUUAAUAGAUGCUAACAGAUGGCAUAAAUUGGAAACAGAUGCAUACGUUAGAGCCCAGUCUAGGGCG